GGUAAGUGGCGCAAUAGGUUACCGCGUCCGAUUGGUUAUCCGGAGGUUAUGGGGUUCGAUCCCCUUCUUGAACG
Molecule: transfer RNA, 74 nt
Filed under: Enterocytozoon bieneusi H348
Lineage: Eukaryota; Fungi; Microsporidia; Enterocytozoonidae
Description: tRNA-Thr (GGT) (tRNA-Thr-GGT-1-1)
Source: RNAcentral